Molecule: long non-coding RNA, 490 nt
Organism: Patella vulgata (common limpet)
Lineage: Eukaryota; Metazoa; Mollusca; Gastropoda; Patellidae
Exons: 2
Source: RefSeq, a predicted model, not a curated record
GACAGUUGGAAAUGGCUAUUCAUAUUAUGGAAACUUUUUCUCACCAGAGCUUGAUAAUCAGGUAAAAUGCUGGAAGAUUAUUUGAUGUAUGAUAACAACAAGAGAUCCCAAGCACCAAUAUAUUUUAUAAUUCUGGAAAAGAAUGCAUUUGACCCAAUUUUUGAAUAUUUAUUUUUUGUUUUUACUGUUAAAUAUUCUUCCCAAACACAAUUAGAUUUUAAUUCUCUACAGAAAUUUAUGUAUAAUAUAGAAUGUAAAGUGACAUAUUAAUCACUUAGAAUUUGGUCGGAAAUUAUAAAGUAUUUAAUAGGCAUAAUCUAGAAACCAAAUGUAGAUCAAAUAUACCCAGAAUUACAAAAAACCUUGACCUACAUUAAGGUGACUUUCCCUUGCUUAUGAAAUGAAAUAGGGUUUAAGAUCCUACUUUUCUGUGUUAUUAUGGUGAUUCUGCCCUACAACCUACUCUUAUAUCAAAUAUUUCAACUGUCAA